Molecule: ribosomal RNA, 481 nt
Filed under: uncultured bacterium
Lineage: Bacteria
Description: partial 16S ribosomal RNA
Rfam family: Bacterial small subunit ribosomal RNA
Source: RNAcentral
GACGAACGCUGGCGGCGUGCUUAACACAUGCAAGUCGAACGAUGAAGGAGAGCUUGCUCUCCGGAUUAGUGGCGAACGGGUGAGUAACACGUGACUAACCUGCCCCUUUCUCUGGGAUAACGCUCCGAAAGGAGUGCUAAUACCGGAUACGAACUCUGAACACAUGUUCGGAGUUGGAAAGUUUUUCGGAAAGGGAUGGAGUCGCGGCCUAUCAGCUUGUUGGGGAGGUAACGGCUCACCAAGGCGACGACGGGUAGCCGGCCUGAGAGGGCGACCGGGCACACGGGGGCUGGGACAAGGCACGGUCGACUAAGUGAGGCAGCAGUGGGGAAUAUUGCCCAAUGGGCGAAAGCCUGAUGCAGCGACGCUGCGUGAGGGAUGAAGGUCUUCGGAUUGUAAACCUCUUUCAGUAGGGACGAAGCGAAAGUGACGGUACCUAAAGAAGAAGCACCGGCUAACUACGUGCCAGCAGCCGCCGUAA